AACGAACGCUGGCGGCAUGCCUAACACAUGCAAGUCGAACGAGACCUUCGGGUCUAGUGGCGCACGGGUGCGUAACGCGUGGGAAUCUGCCCUUGGGUUCGGAAUCACAGUUGGAAACGACUGCUAAUACCGGAUGAUGACGUACGUCCAAAGAUUUAUCGCCCAGGGAUGAGCCCGCGUAGGAUUCGCUAGUUGGUGGGGUAAAGGCCUACCAAGGCGACGAUCCUUAGCUGGUCUGAGAGGAUGAUCAGCCACACUGGGACUGAGACACGGCCCAGACUCCUACGGGAGGGAGCAGUGGGGAAUAUUGGACGAUGGGCGAAAGCCUGAUCCAGCAAUGCCGCGUGAGUGAUGAAGGCCUUAGGGUUGUAAAGCUCUUUUAGCCGGGAUGAUAAUGACAGUACCGGGAGAAUAAGCCCCGGCUAACUCCGUG
RNAcentral lists this ribosomal RNA (433 nucleotides) under uncultured bacterium. RNAcentral describes it as "partial 16S ribosomal RNA". It matches the Rfam family "Bacterial small subunit ribosomal RNA", at positions 29 to 507 of the family's 1533-position model. The record is from RNAcentral.